GAAUGUUGAGAUUAAACUUGAAGUAGCUGGAAUUACCCUGAGAUUGGUAAAUGUUGAAUAAUGGUUUUCUGAUC
This is a small nucleolar RNA of Carcharodon carcharias (great white shark), 74 nucleotides long. Lineage: Eukaryota; Metazoa; Chordata; Chondrichthyes; Lamniformes; Lamnidae. The record is from RefSeq and is a predicted model, not a curated record.